AACUUUAAAGCUUUUAUAGCAUUUCACUUACACUGAAAAAAAUCUAACAAAUUCAAGCAUUUAUAUUUAAUAAAAAUAAUUAUUA
Molecule: transfer RNA, 85 nt
Filed under: Agelena silvatica
Lineage: Eukaryota; Metazoa; Arthropoda; Arachnida; Araneae; Agelenidae
Description: tRNA-Val
Source: RNAcentral